RNAcentral lists this ribosomal RNA (305 nucleotides) under uncultured bacterium. RNAcentral's name for it is "bacterial SSU rRNA". It matches the Rfam family "Bacterial small subunit ribosomal RNA", at positions 30 to 333 of the family's 1533-position model. The record is from RNAcentral.
AUUGAACGCUGGCGGCAGGCCUAACACAUGCAAGUCGAGCGGAUGAGUGGAGCUUGCUCCAUGAUUCAGCGGCGGACGGGUGAGUAAUGCCUAGGAAUCUGCCUGGUAGUGGGGGACAACGUUUCGAAAGGAACGCUAAUACCGCAUACGUCCUACGGGAGAAAGCAGGGGACCUUCGGGCCUUGCGCUAUCAGAUGAGCCUAGGUCGGAUUAGCUAGUAGGUGAGGUAAUGGCUCACCUACGGCGACGAUCCGUAACUGGUCUGAGGAGGAUGAUCAGUCACACUGGAACUGAGACACGGUCCA